RNAcentral lists this ribosomal RNA (472 nucleotides) under uncultured Alphaproteobacteria bacterium. RNAcentral's name for it is "bacterial SSU rRNA". It matches the Rfam family "Bacterial small subunit ribosomal RNA", at positions 29 to 505 of the family's 1533-position model. Lineage: Bacteria; Pseudomonadati; Pseudomonadota; Alphaproteobacteria. The record is from RNAcentral.
AACGAACGCUGGCGGCAGGCUUAACACAUGCAAGUCGAACGCACCUUCGGGUGAGUGGCGCACGGGUGAGUAACGCGUGGGAACGUACCUUUUAGUUGGGAAUAGCUCCGGGAAACUGGAAUUAAUACCCGAUACGCCCCCCUUUCAAAACCAAGAAGUCAAAAACAACCUGUUGUUUUUGAUGGGGGGGAAAGAUUUAUCGCUAAAAGAUCGGCCCGCGUGAGAUUAGAUUGUUGGUGGGGUAAUGGCCUACCAAGUCUACGAUCUCUAGCUGGUCUGAGAGGAUGAUCAGCCACACUGGAACUGAGACACGGUCCAGACUCCUACGGGAGGCAGCAGUGGGGAAUAUUGGACAAUGGGCGAAAGCCUGAUCCAGCCAUGCCGCGUGAGUGAUGAAGGCCCUAGGGUUGUAAAGCUCUUUUAUCCGGGAAGAUGAAGACGGUACCGGAAGAAUAAGCUCCGGCUAACUUCG